RNAcentral lists this ribosomal RNA (2903 nucleotides) under Escherichia coli PCN079. Its description in RNAcentral is "bacterial LSU rRNA". It matches the Rfam family "Bacterial large subunit ribosomal RNA". The record is from RNAcentral. Lineage: Bacteria; Pseudomonadati; Pseudomonadota; Gammaproteobacteria; Enterobacterales; Enterobacteriaceae.
UUAAGCGACUAAGCGUACACGGUGGAUGCCCUGGCAGUCAGAGGCGAUGAAGGACGUGCUAAUCUGCGAUAAGCGUCGGUAAGGUGAUAUGAACCGUUAUAACCGGCGAUUUCCGAAUGGGGAAACCCAGUGUGUUUCGACACACUAUCAUUAACUGAAUCCAUAGGUUAAUGAGGCGAACCGGGGGAACUGAAACAUCUAAGUACCCCGAGGAAAAGAAAUCAACCGAGAUUCCCCCAGUAGCGGCGAGCGAACGGGGAGCAGCCCAGAGCCUGAAUCAGUGUGUGUGUUAGUGGAAGCGUCUGGAAAGGCGCGCGAUACAGGGUGACAGCCCCGUACACAAAAAUGCACAUACUGUGAGCUCGAUGAGUAGGGCGGGACACGUGGUAUCCUGUCUGAAUAUGGGGGGACCAUCCUCCAAGGCUAAAUACUCCUGACUGACCGAUAGUGAACCAGUACCGUGAGGGAAAGGCGAAAAGAACCCCGGCGAGGGGAGUGAAAAAGAACCUGAAACCGUGUACGUACAAGCAGUGGGAGCCUCUUAAUGGGGUGACUGCGUACCUUUUGUAUAAUGGGUCAGCGACUUAUAUUCUGUAGCAAGGUUAACCGAAUAGGGGAGCCGAAGGGAAACCGAGUCUUAACUGGGCGUUAAGUUGCAGGGUAUAGACCCGAAACCCGGUGAUCUAGCCAUGGGCAGGUUGAAGGUUGGGUAACACUAACUGGAGGACCGAACCGACUAAUGUUGAAAAAUUAGCGGAUGACUUGUGGCUGGGGGUGAAAGGCCAAUCAAACCGGGAGAUAGCUGGUUCUCCCCGAAAGCUAUUUAGGUAGCGCCUCGUGAAUUCAUCUCCGGGGGUAGAGCACUGUUUCGGCAAGGGGGUCAUCCCGACUUACCAACCCGAUGCAAACUGCGAAUACCGGAGAAUGUUAUCACGGGAGACACACGGCGGGUGCUAACGUCCGUCGUGAAGAGGGAAACAACCCAGACCGCCAGCUAAGGUCCCAAAGUCAUGGUUAAGUGGGAAACGAUGUGGGAAGGCCCAGACAGCCAGGAUGUUGGCUUAGAAGCAGCCAUCAUUUAAAGAAAGCGUAAUAGCUCACUGGUCGAGUCGGCCUGCGCGGAAGAUGUAACGGGGCUAAACCAUGCACCGAAGCUGCGGCAGCGACGUUUAUGCGUUGUUGGGUAGGGGAGCGUUCUGUAAGCCUGCGAAGGUGUACUGUGAGGUAUGCUGGAGGUAUCAGAAGUGCGAAUGCUGACAUAAGUAACGAUAAAGCGGGUGAAAAGCCCGCUCGCCGGAAGACCAAGGGUUCCUGUCCAACGUUAAUCGGGGCAGGGUGAGUCGACCCCUAAGGCGAGGCCGAAAGGCGUAGUCGAUGGGAAACAGGUUAAUAUUCCUGUACUUGGUGUUACUGCGAAGGGGGGACGGAGAAGGCUAUGUUGGCCGGGCGACGGUUGUCCCGGUUUAAGCGUGUAGGCUGGUUUUCCAGGCAAAUCCGGAAAAUCAAGGCUGAGGCGUGAUGACGAGGCACUACGGUGCUGAAGCAACAAAUGCCCUGCUUCCAGGAAAAGCCUCUAAGCAUCAGGUAACAUCAAAUCGUACCCCAAACCGACACAGGUGGUCAGGUAGAGAAUACCAAGGCGCUUGAGAGAACUCGGGUGAAGGAACUAGGCAAAAUGGUGCCGUAACUUCGGGAGAAGGCACGCUGAUAUGUAGGUGAAGCGACUUGCUCGUGGAGCUGAAAUCAGUCGAAGAUACCAGCUGGCUGCAACUGUUUAUUAAAAACACAGCACUGUGCAAACACGAAAGUGGACGUAUACGGUGUGACGCCUGCCCGGUGCCGGAAGGUUAAUUGAUGGGGUUAGCGGUAACGCGAAGCUCUUGAUCGAAGCCCCGGUAAACGGCGGCCGUAACUAUAACGGUCCUAAGGUAGCGAAAUUCCUUGUCGGGUAAGUUCCGACCUGCACGAAUGGCGUAAUGAUGGCCAGGCUGUCUCCACCCGAGACUCAGUGAAAUUGAACUCGCUGUGAAGAUGCAGUGUACCCGCGGCAAGACGGAAAGACCCCGUGAACCUUUACUAUAGCUUGACACUGAACAUUGAGCCUUGAUGUGUAGGAUAGGUGGGAGGCUUUGAAGUGUGGACGCCAGUCUGCAUGGAGCCGGCCUUGAAAUACCACCCUUUAAUGUUUGAUGUUCUAACGUUGGCCCCUGAUCGGGGUUGCGGACAGUGUCUGGUGGGUAGUUUGACUGGGGCGGUCUCCUCCUAAAGAGUAACGGAGGAGCACGAAGGUUGGCUAAUCCUGGUCGGACAUCAGGAGGUUAGUGCAAUGGCAUAAGCCAGCUUGACUGCGAGCGUGACGGCGCGAGCAGGUGCGAAAGCAGGUCAUAGUGAUCCGGUGGUUCUGAAUGGAAGGGCCAUCGCUCAACGGAUAAAAGGUACUCCGGGGAUAACAGGCUGAUACCGCCCAAGAGUUCAUAUCGACGGCGGUGUUUGGCACCUCGAUGUCGGCUCAUCACAUCCUGGGGCUGAAGUAGGUCCCAAGGGUAUGGCUGUUCGCCAUUUAAAGUGGUACGCGAGCUGGGUUUAGAACGUCGUGAGACAGUUCGGUCCCUAUCUGCCGUGGGCGCUGGAGAACUGAGGGGGGCUGCUCCUAGUACGAGAGGACCGGAGUGGACGCAUCACUGGUGUUCGGGUUGUCAUGCCAAUGGCACUGCCCGGUAGCUAAAUGCGGAAGAGAUAAGUGCUGAAAGCAUCUAAGCACGAAACUUGCCCCGAGAUGAGUUCUCCCUGACUCUUUAAGGGUCCUGAAGGAACGUUGAAGACGACGACGUUGAUAGGCCGGGUGUGUAAGCGCAGCGAUGCGUUGAGCUAACCGGUACUAAUGAACCGUGAGGCUUAACCUU